UUAGAAGCAACUCAUGCAUACAUAGAUUCAUUCUCAUCAUUCUACCCCUUUUUGUUAUAAGUAAUCUCAAGUUCUAACCUCUUUAUCAUCAUCUCAAAAUCAAAAUAAACCCCUCACAUCACUCACCCAAUGAACAACUCUCUUUUUCUUUUGACUCAACCACUAGGGAUUUUAAGUAACUUUUUACAAGCUCUAACCCUUUUUUAUUCCCUUCCCCAACUUCUCUUUGAUUCUUUUUCUUUUCUUUCUCUUUCUCUCUUUUUUUUUUUUUUUAUUAGGGGAAAGUUCUUUGUUGCAUAAUCAAGAGCUUCAUAUUUUCUUUUUAUCCCUAGA
Molecule: long non-coding RNA, 333 nt
Filed under: Brassica napus (rape)
Lineage: Eukaryota; Viridiplantae; Streptophyta; Magnoliopsida; Brassicales; Brassicaceae
Description: long non-coding RNA (BNAP_LNC015597)
Source: RNAcentral